Molecule: long non-coding RNA, 962 nt
Organism: Micropterus dolomieu (smallmouth bass)
Lineage: Eukaryota; Metazoa; Chordata; Actinopteri; Centrarchiformes; Centrarchidae
Exons: 3
Source: RefSeq, a predicted model, not a curated record
ACCCGCCACUAAAGAGUAAAGAGGCUGAUGCUGGUGGCCUGCAGGCUGAUUUAUGUCACUGUAUAGCUGCAGCAGCUCAGCCUGUCAGAAGUUCAGCCUGUGUGAUAAAACACUUACCUGUUCUUUCAGCUCGUCAAUGGUCUUUUCUGCCACCUUCAUCUCUUCCUGCUGUUUUUCUUUCUGGCUUCUCAGUGCGUCCAGCUCCACAUUCUUCUUCUCCAUCUGCUUCUGCAACUUCACAUGUUCCUGCUUUUCUGAUGCUGACAGAUCGCGCAUCCUGACACACAGGAAAAAAUAGAUCACUAAGGGCGAAGAGACCAGUAAAAGAAGUGUCAACACACCUACCUGACCAGUGCUUCCUUAAGUCUGCCAUUCUGCUCUUCAAGCUGUUUCACAUGGUAACUGGAGGCAGCACCAUCCGAACCUGUGAAAGGCCGGAAAAAUCAACUGAGCUCUAUGGGAUCCGCAGUACCUUUCUCCUCAAUCUCGUGCUUGAGGAUCUCCAGGUCCAUGGUGAGCUCGUCUACUUUCUCCUUGAGGGAGUCGACCUCCAGCUGCAGAGACUCUGCCCUCUCCUCAGCCAUCUCCUUAUCCAGCGUGGCCAUCUCGAUCGCAUCCGCUGUGUCUGACAUCUCCUCCAUGUAAUGCUCCUUCGCCUCCAGGGCUUCUUUAGCCUCCUACACACACAGAACUCUGUUAUGUACAGUUGUCUAUAUAGUCUUAAUACAGUAUUUAAAACCUCCUAGGACAUUUGGACAUUUUUCAACUUCAUCUUAACAAAAGAUGAAGUUAAAAAUAAAAACAAAUUAAUAUAAAGGCAGUAUUAUGUUUUCUUUCUGCUGCUGAAUGGGCACAGUUGGCAAUUCUGCUAACAUCUAAUCAUCUCAUAUUAGUGGAAACACUCCUCUCCUCUACCCUGACAGCAGUAUUGUUCUUGGAUGAAAAACGUAAAUACUUGUCAU